This is a long non-coding RNA of Myotis myotis, 2084 nucleotides long. RefSeq lists it as uncharacterized. The transcript is spliced from 2 exons. The record is from RefSeq and is a predicted model, not a curated record. NCBI's taxonomy places the organism in Eukaryota, Metazoa, Chordata, Mammalia, Chiroptera, Vespertilionidae.
CACCCCCUACUGGGGAUGUGCCCACAACCCAGGUACAUGCCCUUGACUGGAAUCAAACCUGGGACCCUUCAGUCCACAGGCUGAUGCUCUAUCCACUGAGCCAAACCGAUUAGUGGGAUAAGCUGGAAUUUUAAAUCAACUUUUGACUUCAAGCCAGGCUUCUUCAGUAAUAACAAUAACAGCAGCCGUAGCAGUAGUUAAUUAUAUAGGGUUUACUAUAUGCCAUGCACUGCUCUAAACACUUUACAUACAUGAACUAACUUAAUCCACAGCUCUGUGGCAUAGAUACUGUUAUUAUUCCUAUUUUACAGAGGAGGAUAUUGAGGCACAGAAGUUAAAUAAACUUGCCCAGAGUCACACAGCUGGAAAAUGGCAGAGUCCGGAUUCAAACUCAGGCAGUCAUCUCCAGAAUCUAGACGGCUAACUAUGGCUUCGCACUGCCUUGGCAUGCUCUACCACUGUCUUCCUCAGCAGGAUCAGGAGGGAAGGACACUAGCAGUUACUGGUUAUACUUUUAUGUACUGUGAUAGAUUGUAUGGUUGCUAAAAUAUUUAUUUGGCCUGUCCCUAUGGAAGCACUGUACUUUGCAUUAGCUUGGCCAUGACUUGCUUUGGCUGUUGAAAUGUGAAUGCAAGUGAUGGCAUUUCUGAGCAGUUCUGAGAGCCCCUGAGAGGUUCCGCCAUCUCUCUAUUCCCUUUGCCAUGAGACCUGCCUGUCCCAGACGGAAGCCACUUCUUCAGUAUUGCUCUUGGAAUAAAGAUUUGGAGCAGAGCACAGCUGACAUGCUGAGGAUGUGAACAUGAACAAGUACCCUUGGAUGUUGUAAGCCGUUGACCUCUGGGAGUCAUUUGUUUCCAUAGCAUAACUCAGCCUAAGCAGAUUUAUACAUGUACAUUAAAAUUUAUUUAAUCCUCUCAAGACCCUUCUAGGUAGGUAUAAUGAGUUCCAGGAAGAAACUAAGACUCACAGUUUCACUAAGUUGCUCAGUGGUAUGGACUGAAUAUUCGUGUUACCCAAAAUGUAUAUGCUAAAGCCCUAACCCACAAUGUAAUGGGGGCGGUUGGGAAAUAAUUAGGGUUAGAUACAGUCAUGUGAGUGGGGCCUCAUGAUCGGCUUAGUGCUCUUAUGAAAGAUACCAGAGAACUUCUCCCUCUCUCUUUUCCCCUACCCCCCAAGUGCAGAAGAGGUCAUUAUGGUCACAUGAUUAUAUUUUCUUUCUAAAAAUACCCUUUAAUGGCACAGAGUGAAAUAAAUCAUAGAACCCUCUCCUCUUUCUGAUAGAUGAGGAAGUAAGAGUUAAGGGAUGGGAUUGGACAGUUCAGCAUUGGCUGUUGCAUAGAUUCACUCACUGAACCCCCACUAGUGUCAAGUCUGGGCGCAGCACUUCAUUGUAGUCCCCGUGGGAGGAUUCAAUAGGAGGUGCUCAGGGGACACCACGUAGGGCCUAGGACAUGGUGAGGACCAGGGUUGUCUGACAUGCUCCAUGCCACUGUCUUCACCUCUCUUGGAGUCAUCAACCCCCUUUGAGAAUCCAUGUGGAUCUUCCACCCCCACAUGAACAUUUAGCAUAAAAUUUCAAUCUUAGAGGAACUGACAGGUGGAAAAUCUGCAUGAGAUAGUCCUCAUUCAGACCUAUGAGGAGGAGGGAGGAUGGAAGGGAGGGAGAACAAGAGAGGCAGCAGUGGGGAGUGGGACAUCUGUUGAUUUCUCUUUCUUAUGAUGCUGGGACAUCAGGGCAAUGCCAAUAUAUUAAAUAGUGAUACUUUUCCCCACUCCUGUGCACAUACAAAAUUAAUAAAAUUGUUUUCCUUUCUUCCUGUUAAUCUGUCUUUUGUCCAGUUAAAUACACAAACCAGGUUCACUAAACUUAAAGAGGGAGAAGUAGAGUUUUCCUUCACACAUUAAGGCUGACAUCACUAGCUGAGCAGGAUACCUUUUCCCACUGAGCAAAAUGUGGUCUCGCGAUCUCAACCCAGUGUACCAAGUUGUCACACAAGGUGAAACCUACCAGCCAAUUCUGGCUGAGGCAAGUCAUCAAGAAGACCUUGAAUAAAUGAAGAUCUACCCGCCCCCCUCCCCCCCCC